AGUGAACGCUGGCGGUAGGCCUAACACAUGCAAGUCGAACGGCAGCACAGUAAGAGCUUGCUCUUACGGGUGGCGAGUGGCGGACGGGUGAGGAAUACAUCGGAAUCUACUUUUUCGUGGGGGAUAACGUAGGGAAACUUACGCUAAUACCGCAUACGACCUACGGGUGAAAGCGGGGGAUCUUCGGACCUUGCGCGAUUGAAUGAGCCGAUGUCGGAUUAGCUAGUUGGCGGGGGAAAGGCCCACCAAGGCGACGAUCCGUAGCUGGUCUGAGAGGAUGAUCAGCCACACUGCAACUGAGACACGGUCCAGACUCCUACGGGAGGCAGCAGUGGGGAAUAUUGGACAAUGGGCGCAAGCCUGAUCCAGCCAUACCGCGUGGGUGAAGAAGGCCUUCGGGUUGUAAAGCCCUUUUGUUGGGAAAGAAAAGCAGCAGGUUAAUACCCCGCUGUUCUGACGGUACCCAAAGAAUAAGCACCGGCUAACUUCGUG
Molecule: ribosomal RNA, 492 nt
Filed under: uncultured bacterium
Lineage: Bacteria
Description: partial 16S ribosomal RNA
Rfam family: Bacterial small subunit ribosomal RNA
Source: RNAcentral